Molecule: long non-coding RNA, 372 nt
Filed under: Aotus nancymaae (Ma's night monkey)
Lineage: Eukaryota; Metazoa; Chordata; Mammalia; Primates; Aotidae
Description: lncRNA (ENSANAG00000038833.1)
Source: RNAcentral
GAGCAAGGACACCAAACUCUAAGAUCCAGAAGGCAGAAAGGCAAAGCUUAGAGCUUCAUUCAUCCUCCCUGGGACACCUGUGGACAUGAUUCAGGAAAGAGAAUGAAUCAAGUCAGCACAAAGGUGACGUCUGAGGCUGGCAGAAUUGUGGCAGAGGGACCUAUAUCAUCUGCCGUGACUCCCACCAAGCAGAAAGCAAUUCCAUUUUGCCUGGAUCUGGGAACAAAGCCAAUGUCUGCUUUAGAGGAACAGAGAUUUCCAACGCUGCGAUAGAGAGAGAGAAGCAAAUACUUGUGGCUUUGUGGAGACUGUCAGGCACAAGAUAUCGGACACACAGGAGUCUCCAGCUCUGCUUACAGAGGAAUCCCUCAU